This 354-nucleotide ribosomal RNA is filed under the name uncultured bacterium. Its description in RNAcentral is "bacterial SSU rRNA". It matches the Rfam family "Bacterial small subunit ribosomal RNA", at positions 29 to 362 of the family's 1533-position model. The record is from RNAcentral.
AACGAACGCUGGCGGCGUGGAUUAGGCAUGCAAGUCGAACGCGAAAGAGGGAGCAAUCCCUCGAGUAGAGUGGCGAACGGGUGAGUAACGCGUGAAGAACCUGCCUUCAACAGGGGGAUAACACCUCCCAACGGGGUGCUAAUACCGCAUGAGACCACGGGGUCGCAUGGCCCUGAGGUCAAAGGUGGCCUCUAUUUAUAAGCUACCGGUUGAAGAUGGCUUCGCGUCCCAUUAGCAGUUGGCGGUAGUAAAAGACCACCAAGGCGACGAUGGGUAGCUGGUCUGAGAGGAUGGUCAGCCACACUGGGACUGAGAUACGGCCCAGACUCCGUACGGGAGGCAGCAGUCGAGAGG